This 376-nucleotide ribosomal RNA is filed under the name uncultured bacterium. RNAcentral describes it as "bacterial SSU rRNA". It matches the Rfam family "Bacterial small subunit ribosomal RNA", at positions 524 to 898 of the family's 1533-position model. The record is from RNAcentral.
UACGGAAGGUCCAGGCGUUAUCCGGAUUUAUUGGGCGUAAAGCGAGCGCAGGCGGUUUCUUAAGUCUGAUGUGAAAGCCCCCGGCUCAACCGGGGAGGGUCAUUGGAAACUGGGAAACUUGAGUGCAGAAGAGGAGAGUGGAAUUCCAUGUGUAGCGGUGAAAUGCGUAGAUAUAUGGAGGAACACCAGUGGCGAAGGCGGCUCUCUGGUCUGUAACUGACGCUGAGGCUCGAAAGCGUGGGGAGCAAACAGGAUUAGAUACCCUGGUGGUCCACGCCGUAAACGAUGAGUGCUAAGUGUUGGAGGGUUUCCGCCCUUCAGUGCUGCAGCUAACGCAUUAAGCACUCCGCCUGGGGAGUACGACCGCAAGGUUGAA